CACGUAGGGCGCGAGCGUUGUCCGGAAUUAUUGGGCGUAAAGAGCUCGUAGGCGGCCUGUUGCGUCCGCUGUGAAAGCCCGGGGCUUAACCCCGGGUCGGCAGUGGAUACGGGCAGGCUAGAGGUAGGUAGGGGAGAAUGGAAUUCCCGGUGUAGCGGUGGAAUGCGCAGAUAUCAGGAGGAACACCGGUGGCGAAGGCGGGUCUCUGGGCAGUAACUGACGCUGAGGAGCGAAAGCGUGGGGAGCGAAUAGG
Molecule: ribosomal RNA, 253 nt
Filed under: uncultured bacterium
Lineage: Bacteria
Description: partial 16S ribosomal RNA
Rfam family: Bacterial small subunit ribosomal RNA
Source: RNAcentral